This 253-nucleotide ribosomal RNA is filed under the name uncultured bacterium. RNAcentral describes it as "partial 16S ribosomal RNA". It matches the Rfam family "Bacterial small subunit ribosomal RNA", at positions 524 to 776 of the family's 1533-position model. The record is from RNAcentral.
UACAGAGGGGGCAAGCGUUAUUCGGAAUUAUUGGGCGUAAAGGGCGCGUAGGCGGCUUGGCAAGUGGAUGGUGAAAUCCCUCGGCUUAACCGAGGAACUGCCAUCCAGACUGCUUGGCUUGAGACCGGGAGAGGUGAGUGGAAUUCCCAGUGUAGCGGUGAAAUGCGUAGAUAUUGGGAGGAACACCAGUGGCGAAGGCGCUCUGCUAGGCCGUAACUGACACUGAGGGACGAAAGCUAGGGGAGCGAAUGGG